AUUGAACGCUGGCGGCAUGCCUUACACAUGCAAGUCGAACGGUAACGCGGGGCAACCUGGCGACGAGUGGCGAACGGGUGAGUAAUGCAUCGGAACGUGCCCAGUAGUGGGGGAUAGCCCGGCGAAAGCCGGAUUAAUACCGCAUACGACCUACGGGUGAAAGGGGGGGAUCGCAAGACCUCUCGCUAUUGGAGCGGCCGAUGUCAGAUUAGCUAGUUGGUGGGGUAAAAGCCUACCCAGGCGACGAUCUGUAGCUGGUCUGAGAGGACGACCAGCCACACUGGGACUGAGACACGGCCCAGACUCCUACGGGAGGCAGCAGUGGGGAAUUUUGGACAAUGGGCGAAAGCCUGAUCCAGCCAUGCCGCGUGCGGGAAGAAGGCCUUCGGGUUGUAAACCGCUUUUGUCAGGGAAGAAAUCUUCUGAGUUAAUACCUCGGGAGGAUGACGGUACCUGAAGAAUAAGCACCGGCUAACUACGUGCCAGCAGCCGCGGGAA
RNAcentral lists this ribosomal RNA (498 nucleotides) under uncultured bacterium. Its description in RNAcentral is "partial 16S ribosomal RNA". It matches the Rfam family "Bacterial small subunit ribosomal RNA", at positions 29 to 523 of the family's 1533-position model. The record is from RNAcentral.